Long non-coding RNA from Dermacentor andersoni, 2636 nucleotides. RefSeq lists it as uncharacterized. The record is from RefSeq and is a predicted model, not a curated record. Lineage: Eukaryota; Metazoa; Arthropoda; Arachnida; Ixodida; Ixodidae.
GCACGCAGCUCAUCGGUAGCUGCACGGGUGCACGGCGUCGCAUUGCGACCUGCGGCAUUUUCUCGUGUUCGCGCAAUCGGUGUGAAACAUGUCGCAUGUGAAAUAUUUGAUAGAAGUGCCUCACGUCCAAGUCGAGCCGCCGUACGGGUGUAAGGCUGUGUGCCCCGUUCUCGGAAGCGUCGACGGGUUUCCGGCAUGCGGAUUUCAGCGUUUGGACUCGACUUUUGGUGAAGAUGUCGAUCGACCUUGGGCCUGGUGACAGCACACCCGACAUGGCCAAAGUGCAGUCUAUCAGUUGAGUGCCCCCGAAUGGACCAUCAACAUCGGAAAAUGAAACAGAGCCAGGGGGAAAAGGUUCCGGUAACACCAUGCAUUCAGUAUGGUGGCCCAGACGUGUAUGCAAGCAAUCUCCUUCAUGUGGACCAAGAACUACUCUGCAGUGUCUCGCAGACUUCCAUGCGAAGUCCUCAACAUUCUCGUCUCAGUGGAAUGGCUGCUCAUCUAUCUGCGUGUCCAUCACCAAGACGGCCAGUUGUAAAGCUCCUGUACCUGUUUAAGAAAGCUUAAUGAUUUUUUUAUUUAGUUUUCACGGUUGGCCAUAGAAUCUUAACAUUUUUGAUGUUUAUAACAUUUUUACCUGGCACAAAGUGGUGCAAUAACUUUAAACCAGUGUAAUGUAUUUAAGUGAUGCUCACUCUAAUGCCUAUCUGGUUUUGUUAGUGUUUAAGAAAUUUGUAUGUCUGAUGAGGUAACAACAUUUGAAUUUGUCAUCGUGGCUCGUUUCAAUGAGCUGCUAGGAAAAAAGUCGCAAAACUUAUCACACGCCAGUUGUAGCAUUUUUGUUUUCAUGACUAUAGUAUACACGUUUCAAAAGAUGGAAAGUGGGGAAAAAAACCUGAAGAACAUAAUCAUCCUAGGAUUGUCAUGUCCUUACAACUCCGCAAUGAUAAUGCCUCAUACAUCUUGGGAGCACAUUGGUCACAAUUCCUACAGGUAUACUUGAUAAGAGAAUAGCUUGCACCCAGAUUUGCCACACAGUUGAUGGCUGAUGGCUUUUGUUUGUCGUCUUCAUGCUACUACUGUGUAUUCAAUAUUCAUUUAGAUGUAAAGGACACUAGAGGCACUGAAGUACCAAAUGGCACUUGCAUUUCAGGGGACAAAGUGCCCAGCAUGCCUGUCACAAAACGUGUUCUAGGGGCUACCUUGCCUCUAUAGGUAAAUGGAUACCAGAUGCUCUGUGUACAGUGUAAUCGGUGUACUUGUCUGGAGUGCUUGAAAGAUGUGCUACGGGCUGUACUGGCACUGUCUGAAGAUAAUGCAUGGUUCUAGAAAGCCUGCAGCUGAGCAUCUGCCACCAUACUGAAGGAACUGUCCUAAUUUUGUUGUUGAAAUGUAGGAGCUGCAAUGAAUAGUUGUGAAUGUGUGCUCCGAAUCUUUUAAUGUGGAAUGCCUUGAUUAUUUCCCGUGUGGUUUGACAUUUGUCUCGAAAGAAUUUUUGUGUCUUCAAACAAAGGUUUGCAACCGCAAUUGAAACAAUGUGAUGCUAGAUGUGAAGCAUUAGGGUUGUAAAGUGAAUGUUUGUUUUCUUUUAGUCUAAUAAUAAUGCACCUGCCGCUCUGUACAAUGUAAGUCUUCCCUCACUUGAGAGGAUACUGAUAAACUAUACCAGUGUUACAGGGCACAAAAAGGGAGACAUGUCUAACGCCGCAAUUAUCUUUUCUGUUUUGCCACCCUGUUCAAGUUUCCUAUUUAUCAUAGGCACAUGAUAGACAACUUGCGGUGCCGAGAAAACUUUAUCCACAUCAUAUGUAUUGGCCACGUUCCAUAAACCAUCUGAUAAUCUAUGUAUAUAGGGCACCACAGCAAACCUUCUUUUUCUGUUUUUCUUGUUUCUUAGCCUGGCCUUUUACCCACUUUAAAAGCUUUUUGCAGGUUAGUGAUAAUAAAUGCACAGGAUAACUAGCCUUUUCGAGCCUAUUUGUUGUGAAAAACUGUUUCAUAUUGUGUGGACAUGACUAGCUUACUCAGCUCUUAAGUUUGCCAUUACUAAUGUCCGCACAAUAUGAAACAAAGUUUUUCACAACAAAUAGAUAGAGAGGCAUUCCACAUUAAAAGAUUGGGAGAGACUUACAUUAGCCAUGCAUCUUUGUCUCUGUUAGGAUGCGAAUUUCAGUAUCUUCAGAACACGUGUGUUAAUCUGAAGUAGUCUUUUUGUUGUUUCCUUUUUUACUUACUUCCUGAUAUGCUUAACUGAUAUCUUCAUACCUUGUCAUGUUCUUACGCUGCGGUUUUUUUGCAGUCACCCAUAUAUAUAUAUAUAUGUUCUUCGUUUCAAUAAAAAUUUAGUUGAGAGUUAGCGCUCAUCCUGGUCUGCUUCUAGUGUGUGUACGUGUCACUUCGCGCUACAAUCCAAGAUCAUGUUACUGUACCAACUCGCCCAACUUUCUAUCCUUGUGUUAACAUAGACACACUCAGACUUGUUCUUACUUAUGUGACCGGUUAUUUUUGUACUUUAUAAUAAGAUGCAGUGCUUUUCGAAUGAAAACAUGUGAUAGUUCGUAGCGAGAUUAUUUAAAAAAAACUUUUCUGCUUAAAAUUUAUUUGAACAAGCCUGUGGCAUUAUUCGGUGCUUAUGU